RNAcentral lists this ribosomal RNA (201 nucleotides) under uncultured Methylomirabilota bacterium. Its description in RNAcentral is "uncultured candidate division NC10 bacterium partial 16S ribosomal RNA". It matches the Rfam family "Bacterial small subunit ribosomal RNA", at positions 977 to 1175 of the family's 1533-position model. Lineage: Bacteria; Methylomirabilota (SeqCode). The record is from RNAcentral.
GGGCUUGACAUCCCACGAACCUGAUCAGAGAUGGUCCUUUCCCUUCGGGGACAGGGGAGACAGGUGGUGCAUGGUUGUCGUCAGCUCGUGUCGUGAGAUGUUGGGUUAAGUCCCGCAACGAGCGCAACCCUUGCCCCGUGUUACUAACAGGUCAAGCUGAGGACUCUCGGGGGACUGCCGGCGUCAAGCUGGAGGAAGGCG